Long non-coding RNA from Chiroxiphia lanceolata (lance-tailed manakin), 436 nucleotides. RefSeq lists it as uncharacterized. The record is from RefSeq and is a predicted model, not a curated record. Lineage: Eukaryota; Metazoa; Chordata; Aves; Passeriformes; Pipridae. The transcript has 3 exons.
ACUCCCAGGAAACCCAUCUAUACAUCUGUGAAAUCACGUUACUGCAUGUUGGAAGUGUUGUGUGUCACUUCCCACAUGUACACUGCCUGGUGCUUUUUUCCUUCUCAGUAGAGCCUGUCAGCUGCCUGACUCAACCAGAAGCAGAGGAAUGACGAAUAUAUUCAGAGCCAUGGCUACUUUUGGUUUGGAAACUGUUGUGGGGACCAUUGUAGGGACUGAGCUUCCCUUGCAAGAAGGAGCCAGGGCCUGGGAGUCCAGUAGAGAUGUCGUGCUCUGCAGUGGAUGCUGUGAAUGUGGAACUGACUCUUUCUAAUUUUUCCUGAUAAAGACUUGGACACUUUUUGCAAAGUUGGCCUUUGAUAUCACAAGUUGGAGUGAAAAGUGAACCUUGAAAUGUAUGCAAAAAAGAAGAAAUAUGGAAUGGUGUCCAGAAGAU